GUGGGGAAUAUUGCACAAUGGGGGAAACCCUGAUGCAGCCAUGCCGCGUGUGUGAAGAAGGCCUUCGGGUUGUAAAGCACUUUAAUCAGUGAGGAAAGGGUGCAUGUUAAUAGCAUGUAUCUGUGACGUUAGCUGAAGAAUAAGCACCGGCUAACUCCGUGCCAGCAGCCGCGGUAAUACGGAGGGUGCAAGCGUUAAUCGGAAUUACUGGGCGUAAAGCGCACGUAGGCGGCUUUUUAAGCGAGAUGUGAAAUCCCCGGGCUUAACCUGGGAACUGCAUUUCGAACUGGAAAGCUAGAAUAUGGUAGAGGAUAGUGGAAUUUCAGGUGUAGCGGUGAAAUGCGUAGAGAUCUGAAGGAACAUCAGUGGCGAAGGCGACUGUCUGGACCAAUAUUGACGCUGAGGUGCGAAAGCGUGGGUAGCAAACAGG
Molecule: ribosomal RNA, 430 nt
Filed under: uncultured bacterium
Lineage: Bacteria
Description: bacterial SSU rRNA
Rfam family: Bacterial small subunit ribosomal RNA
Source: RNAcentral